CCUACGGGCGGCAGCAGUGAGGAAUAUUGGUCAAUGGACGAGAGUCUGAACCAGCCAAGUAGCGUGAAGGAUGACUGCCCUAUGGGUUGUAAACUUCUUUUAUAAAGGAAUAAAACGAGGCACGUGUGCCUUUUUGCAUGUACUUUAUGAAUAAGGCUCGGCUAACUCCGUGCCAGCAGCCGCGGUAAUACGGAGGAUCCGCGCGUUAUCCGGAUUUAUUGGGUUUAAAGGGAGCGUAGAUGGGUUGUUAAGUCAGUUGUGAAAGUUUGCGGCUCAACCGUAAAAUUGCAAUUGAUACUGGCAGUCUUGAGUACAGUUGAGGUAGGCGGAAUUCGUGGUGUAGCGGUGGAAUGCUUAGAUAUCACGAAGAACCCCGAUUGCGAAGGCAGCUUACUAAACUGUGACUGACAUUGAUGCUCGAAAGUGUGGGUAUCAAACAGGAUUAGAUACCCCAGUAGUC
This 460-nucleotide ribosomal RNA is filed under the name uncultured bacterium. RNAcentral describes it as "partial 16S ribosomal RNA". It matches the Rfam family "Bacterial small subunit ribosomal RNA", at positions 338 to 795 of the family's 1533-position model. The record is from RNAcentral.